CCUACGGGAUGCAGCAGUGGGGAAUUUUGGACAAUGGGCGCAAGCCUGAUCCAGCCAUGCCGCGUGAGUGAAGAAGGCCUUCGGGUUGUAAAGCUCUUUCGGCCGGGAAGAAAUCGUGUUCUCUAACAUAGGACAUGGAUGACGGUACCGGACUAAGAAGCACCGGCUAACUACGUGCCAGCAGCCGCGGUAAUACGUAGGGUGCGAGCGUUAAUCGGAAUUACUGGGCGUAAAGCGUGCGCAGGCGGUUUUGUAAGACAGAUGUGAAAUCCCCGGGCUCAACCUGGGAACUGCGUUUGUG
This 301-nucleotide ribosomal RNA is filed under the name uncultured bacterium. Its description in RNAcentral is "bacterial SSU rRNA". It matches the Rfam family "Bacterial small subunit ribosomal RNA", at positions 338 to 631 of the family's 1533-position model. The record is from RNAcentral.